UUAUGGCUCAGGACGAACGCUGGCGGCGUGCUUAACACAUGCAAGUCGAACGGGGAUUAGUUGAUAGAGAGCUUCGGCAGGAAAUUGAUAAUCGAGUGGCGGACGGGUGAGUAACGCGUGAGCAACCUGUCCCAGACAGGGGGAUAACACUUGGAAACAGGUGCUAAUACCGCAUAAGACCACGGGAUCACAUGGUUCCGGGGUAAAAGGAGCAAUCCGGUUUGGGGUGGGCUCGCGUCCGAUUAGCCAGUUGGCGGGUAACGGCCCACCAAAGCGACGAUCGGUAGCCGACCUGAGAGGGUGAACGGCCACAUUGGAACUGAGAGACGGUCCAAACUCCUACGGGAGGCAGCAGUGGGGAAUAUUGGGCAAUGGGCGAAAAAGCCUGACCCAGCAACGCCGCGUGAGUGAAGAAGGCCUUCGGGUUGUAAAGCUCUGUUAUAGGGGACGAAGGAAGUGACGGUACCCUAUAAGGAAGCCCCGGCUAACUACGUGCCAGCCGCCGC
RNAcentral lists this ribosomal RNA (506 nucleotides) under uncultured bacterium. Its description in RNAcentral is "bacterial SSU rRNA". It matches the Rfam family "Bacterial small subunit ribosomal RNA", at positions 17 to 518 of the family's 1533-position model. The record is from RNAcentral.